This 380-nucleotide ribosomal RNA is filed under the name uncultured eukaryote. RNAcentral's name for it is "partial 18S ribosomal RNA". It matches the Rfam family "Eukaryotic small subunit ribosomal RNA", at positions 592 to 976 of the family's 1831-position model. The record is from RNAcentral.
CAAUAGCGUAUAUUAAAGUUGUUGCGGUUAAAAAGCUCGUAGUUGGAUUUCUGUUGAGGACGGCCGGUCCGCACUAUGUGCGUGUAUCUGGUUCGGCCUCGGCAUCCUCUCGAAAGCCGUAUCUGCGCUUGACUGCGUGGUUCGGACUUCGGGACUUUUACUUUGAGGAAAUUAGAGUGUUCACGGCAGGCAAGCGCCUUGAAUAUAUUAGCAUGGAAUAAUAAUCUAGGAUCUUGGUCCUAUUUUGUUGGUUUCUAGGGCUAAGAUAAUGAUUAAUAGGGACAAUUGGGGGCAUUCGUAUUAACGCGUCAGAGGUGGAAUUCUUGGAUUGCGUUACGACGAACUACUGCGAAAGCAUUUGCCAAGGAUGUUUUCAUUGA